CGGCCGUGCUUGCACGGUCUGAUUAGUGGCGAACGGGUGAGUAACACGUGAGUAACCUGCCCUCCACUUCGGGAUAACCUCGGGAAAUCGUGGCUAAUACCGGAUAUGAGCACUCAUCGCAUGGUGGGUGUUGGAAAGAUUUAUCGGUGGGGGAUGGACUCGCGGCCUAUCAGUUUGUUGGUGAGGUGAUGGCUCACCAAGACGAUGACGGGUAGCCGGCCUGAGAGGGCGACCGGCCACACUGGGACUGAGACACGGCCCAGACUCCUACGGGAGGCAGCAGUGGGGAAUAUUGCACAAUGGGCGAAAGCCUGAUGCAGCGACGCCGCGUGAGGGAUGACGGCCUUCGGGUUGUAAACCUCUUUCAGUAGGGAAGAAGCGAAAGUGACGGUACCUGCAGAAGAAGCGCCGGCUAACUACGUGCCAGCAGCCGCGGUAAUACGUAGGGCGCAAGCGUUGUCCGGAAUUAUUGGGCGUAAAGAGCUUGUAGGUGGCUUGUCGCGUCUGCCGUGAAAACCCGAGGCUCAACCUCGGGCGUGCGGUGGGUACGGGCAGGCUAGAGUGUGGUAGGGGAGACUGGAACUCCUGGUGUAGCGGUGAAAUGCGCAGAUAUCAGGAAGAACACCGAUGGCGAAGGCAGGUCUCUGGGCCAUUACUGACACUGAGAAGCGAAAGCAUGGGUAGCGAACAGGAUUAGAUACCCUGGUAGUCCAUGCCGUAAACGUUGGGCACUAGGUGUGGGGGACAUUCCACGUUUUCCGCGCCGUAGCUAACGCAUUAAGU
This 783-nucleotide ribosomal RNA is filed under the name Brachybacterium paraconglomeratum. Its description in RNAcentral is "bacterial SSU rRNA". It matches the Rfam family "Bacterial small subunit ribosomal RNA", at positions 71 to 865 of the family's 1533-position model. The record is from RNAcentral. Lineage: Bacteria; Bacillati; Actinomycetota; Actinomycetes; Micrococcales; Dermabacteraceae.